RNAcentral lists this unclassified non-coding RNA (220 nucleotides) under plant metagenome. RNAcentral's name for it is "partial contains small subunit ribosomal RNA, internal transcribed spacer 1, and 5.8S ribosomal RNA". The record is from RNAcentral.
GCUCCGUAGGUGAACCUGCGGAGGGAUCAUUACAGAGUUCGUGCCCUCACGGGUAGAUCUCCCACCCUGUGUUAUUAUACCUUUGUUGCUUUGGCGGGCCGCCCUCGGCUACCGGCCCCGGCUAGUACGCGCCCGCCAGAGGACCCCAAACUCUGAAUGUUAGUGUCGUCUGAGUACUAUACAAUAGUUAAAACUUUCAACAACGGAUCUCUUGGUUCUG